CGAGCAGCUCAUCAUGCUGUCAGCACAGAGCUCCCUGGAGACCACAGCAAGACUCCAAAGGGGAGCAUGGGGAGGAAAAAAGGCCCAUUUCCCCCAAGGAAGAUGGGUUCACAGGAGAAUCUUCUGAGCUUGGUCACUUCUGUUCUCUCACUGCGCCAUCUCCUGGAACCAAAUCUCCUGUGCCUUGAAUAUCCACAGACAGGAUGUCCAGGGCAGAGUCGGGCGGUGGACAAAGCACUGAUUAGGACAAGCUUCCAGCCCAGAAAACUGAGUCAUCUUGGCCACCUGCACUCGUGUGUCCACUUGGAGCCUCUUCUAUUCUGACAACUUUGCAUCUUUUUUUCUCUGGACCCAGAAACAAGUAUGUCCAAGAAUCCUCCAAGAAUUCACCAGACGCUCUCUCCUGGUCAGAGAGCCAAUGCUCACCCGACUGAGUUCAAAACAACCUUGACCUUGGGUUUUGUUUUUGCAGAUUAAAAAAAAAAAAAAA
Molecule: long non-coding RNA, 490 nt
Organism: Bos taurus (domestic cattle)
Lineage: Eukaryota; Metazoa; Chordata; Mammalia; Artiodactyla; Bovidae
Source: Ensembl